This 1465-nucleotide ribosomal RNA is filed under the name Prochlorococcus sp. AG-409-M05. Its description in RNAcentral is "bacterial SSU rRNA". It matches the Rfam family "Bacterial small subunit ribosomal RNA". The record is from RNAcentral. Lineage: Bacteria; Bacillati; Cyanobacteriota; Cyanophyceae; Synechococcales; Prochlorococcaceae.
AGAGUUUGAUCCUGGCUCAGGAUGAACGCUGGCGGCGUGCUUAACACAUGCAAGUCGAACGAACCUUCGGGUUAGUGGCGGACGGGUGAGUAACGCGUGGGAAUCUACCCUCAGGAGGGGGAUAACGGUUGGAAACGGCCGCUAAUACCCCAUAUGCCGCGAGGUGAAAUGAAUUUCGCCUGAGGAUGAGCCCGCGUCUGAUUAGCUAGUUGGUGAGGUAAUGGCCCACCAAGGCUUCGAUCAGUAGCUGGUCUGAGAGGAUGAUCAGCCACACUGGGACUGAGACACGGCCCAGACUCCUACGGGAGGCAGCAGUGGGGAAUUUUCCGCAAUGGGCGAAAGCCUGACGGAGCAACGCCGCGUGAGGGAUGAAGGCCUCUGGGCUGUAAACCUCUUUUCUCAAGGAAGAAGAUCUGACGGUACUUGAGGAAUAAGCCACGGCUAAUUCCGUGCCAGCAGCCGCGGUAAUACGGGAGUGGCAAGCGUUAUCCGGAAUUAUUGGGCGUAAAGCGUCCGCAGGCGGCCUUUCAAGUCUGCUGUUAAAACGUGGAGCUUAACUCCAUCAAGGCAGUGGAAACUGUUGGGCUUGAGUGUGGUAGGGGCAGAGGGAAUUCCCGGUGUAGCGGUGAAAUGCGUAGAUAUCGGGAAGAACACCAGUGGCGAAGGCGCUCUGCUGGGCCAUAACUGACGCUCAUGGACGAAAGCCAGGGGAGCGAAAGGGAUUAGAUACCCCUGUAGUCCUGGCCGUAAACGAUGAACACUAGGUGUCGGGGGAAUCGACCCCCUCGGUGUCGUAGCCAACGCGUUAAGUGUUCCGCCUGGGGAGUACGCACGCAAGUGUGAAACUCAAAGGAAUUGACGGGGGCCCGCACAAGCGGUGGAGUAUGUGGUUUAAUUCGAUGCAACGCGAAGAACCUUACCAGGGUUUGACAUCCUGCGAACCUCUUAGAAAUUUGAGGGUGCCUUCGGGAACGCAGUGACAGGUGGUGCAUGGCUGUCGUCAGCUCGUGUCGUGAGAUGUUGGGUUAAGUCCCGCAACGAGCGCAACCCACGUUUUUAGUUGCCAGCAUUAAGUUGGGCACUCUAGAGAGACCGCCGGUGAUAAACCGGAGGAAGGUGUGGAUGACGUCAAGUCAUCAUGCCCCUUACAUCCUGGGCUACACACGUACUACAAUGCUACGGACAAAGGGCAGCAAACUCGCGAGGGCUAGCAAAUCCCAUAAACCGUGGCUCAGUUCAGAUCGUAGGCUGCAACUCGCCUACGUGAAGGAGGAAUCGCUAGUAAUCGCAGGUCAGCAUACUGCGGUGAAUACGUUCCCGGGCCUUGUACACACCGCCCGUCACACCAUGGAAGUUGGCCACGCCCGAAGUCGUUACUCCAACCCUUGUGGAGGAGGACGCCGAAGGUGGGGCUGAUGACUGGGGUGAAGUCGUAACAAGGUAGCCGUACCGGAAGGUGCGGCUG